RNAcentral lists this ribosomal RNA (418 nucleotides) under uncultured bacterium. Its description in RNAcentral is "bacterial SSU rRNA". It matches the Rfam family "Bacterial small subunit ribosomal RNA", at positions 361 to 776 of the family's 1533-position model. The record is from RNAcentral.
AUAUUGGUCAAUGGAGGCAACUCUGACCCAGCCAUGCCGCGUGCAGGAAGAAUGCCUUAUGGGUUGUAAACUGCUUUUAUUUGGGAAGAACCCCUCGAACGUGUUCGAGGCUGACGGUACCAAACGAAUAAGCACCGGCUAACUCCGUGCCAGCAGCCGCGGUAAUACGGAGGGUGCAAGCGUUAUCCGGAAUCAUUGGGUUUAAAGGGUCCGCAGGCGGAAAGAUAAGUCAGUGGUGAAAUCUCCCAGCUCAACUGGGAAACUGCCAUUGAUACUGUUUUUCUUGAAUUUGGUCGGAGUGGGCGGAAUGUGUCAUGUAGCGGUGAAAUGCAUAGAUAUGACACAGAACACCGAUAGCGAAGGCAGCUCACUAGACCUGAAUUGACGCUCAUGGACGAAAGCGUGGGGAGCGAACAGG